UACAGAGGGUGCAAGCGUUGUUCGGAAUUACUGGGCGUAAAGCGCGUGUAGGUGGCGAUGUAAGUCGGGUGUGAAAUCCCUCAGCUUAACUGAGGAAGUGCACUCGAUACUGUGUCGCUUGAGUGUUGGAGGGGAUGGCGGAAUUCCCGGUGUAGAGGUGAAAUUCGUAGAUAUCGGGAGGAACACCUGUGGCGAAGGCGGCCAUCUGGACAACUACUGACACUGAGACGCGAAGGCGUGGGUAGCAAACAGG
This 253-nucleotide ribosomal RNA is filed under the name uncultured bacterium. RNAcentral's name for it is "partial 16S ribosomal RNA". It matches the Rfam family "Bacterial small subunit ribosomal RNA", at positions 524 to 776 of the family's 1533-position model. The record is from RNAcentral.